RNAcentral lists this ribosomal RNA (473 nucleotides) under uncultured organism. RNAcentral describes it as "partial 16S ribosomal RNA". It matches the Rfam family "Bacterial small subunit ribosomal RNA", at positions 334 to 798 of the family's 1533-position model. The record is from RNAcentral.
CACUCCUGCGGGAGGCAGCAGUGGGGAAUUUUGGACAAUGGGCGAAAGCCUGAUCCAGCAAUGCCGCGUGAGUGAAGAAGGCCUUCGGGUUGUAAAGCUCUUUUGUCAGGGAAGAAACGGUGAAAGCUAAUAUCUUUUGCUAAUGACGGUACCUGAAGAAUAAGCACCGGCUAACUACGUGCCAGCAGCCGCGGUAAUACGUAGGGUGCAAGCGUUAAUCGGAAUUACUGGGCGUAAAGCGUGCGCAGGCGGUUUUGUAAGUCUGAUGUGAAAUCCCCGGGCUCAACCUGGGAAUUGCAUUGGAGACUGCAAGGCUAGAAUCUGGCAGAGGGGGGUAGAAUUCCACGUGUAGCAGUGAAAUGCGUAGAUAUGUGGAGGAACACCGAUGGCGAAGGCAGCCCCCUGGGUCAAGAUUGACGCUCAUGCACGAAAGCGUGGGGAGCAAACAGGAUUAGAUACCCGUGUAGUCCCAU